This 759-nucleotide ribosomal RNA is filed under the name Neisseria subflava. Its description in RNAcentral is "bacterial SSU rRNA". It matches the Rfam family "Bacterial small subunit ribosomal RNA", at positions 28 to 776 of the family's 1533-position model. The record is from RNAcentral. Lineage: Bacteria; Pseudomonadati; Pseudomonadota; Betaproteobacteria; Neisseriales; Neisseriaceae.
AUUGAACGCUGGCGGCAUGCUUUACACAUGCAAGUCGGACGGCAGCACAGAGAAGCUCGCUUCUUGGGUGGCGAGUGGCGAACGGGUGAGUAAUAUAUCGGAACGUACCGAGUAAUGGGGGAUAACUAAUCGAAAGAUUAGCUAAUACCGCAUAUUCUCUGAGGAGGAAAGCAGGGGACCUUCGGGCCUUGCGUUAUUCGAGCGGCCGAUAUCUGAUUAGCUAGUUGGUGGGGUAAAGGCCUACCAAGGUGACGAUCAGUAGCGGGUCUGAGAGGAUGAUCCGCCACACUGGGACUGAGACACGGCCCAGACUCCUACGGGAGGCAGCAGUGGGGAAUUUUGGACAAUGGGCGCAAGCCUGAUCCAGCCAUGCCGCGUGUCUGAAGAAGGCCUUCGGGUUGUAAAGGACUUUUGUCAGGGAAGAAAAGGCUGUUGCUAAUAUCGACAGCUGAUGACGGUACCUGAAGAAUAAGCACCGGCUAACUACGUGCCAGCAGCCGCGGUAAUACGUAGGGUGCGAGCGUUAAUCGGAAUUACUGGGCGUAAAGCGAGCGCAGACGGUUACUUAAGCAGGAUGUGAAAUCCCCGGGCUUAACCUGGGAACUGCGUUCUGAACUGGGUGACUAGAGUGUGUCAGAGGGAGGUAGAAUUCCACGUGUAGCAGUGAAAUGCGUAGAGAUGUGGAGGAAUACCGAUGGCGAAGGCAGCCUCCUGGGAUAACACUGACGUUCAUGCUCGAAAGCGUGGGUAGCAAACAGG